GACGAACGCUGGCGGCGUGCCUAAUACAUGCAAGUAGAACGCUGAAGGAGGAGCUUGCUCUUCUGGAUGAGUUGCGAACGGGUGAGUAACGCGUAGGUAACCUGCCUGGUAGCGGGGGAUAACUAUUGGAAACGAUAGCUAAUACCGCAUAAGAGUAGAUGUUGCAUGACAUUUACUUAAAAGGUGCAAUUGCAUCACUACCAGAUGGACCUGCGUUGUAUUAGCUAGUUGGUGGGGUAACGGCUUACCAAGGCGACGAUACAUAGCCGACCUGAGAGGGUGAUCGGCCACACUGGGACUGAGACACGGCCCAGACUCCUACGGGAGGCAGCAGUAGGGAAUCUUCGGCAAUGGACGGAAGUCUGACCGAGCAACGCCGCGUGAGCGAAGAAGGUUUUCGGAUCGUAAAGCUCUGUUGUAAGAGAAGAACGAGUGUGAGAGUGGAAAGUUCACACUGUGACGGUAUCUUACCAGAAAGGGACGGCUAACUACGUG
Molecule: ribosomal RNA, 495 nt
Filed under: uncultured bacterium
Lineage: Bacteria
Description: partial 16S ribosomal RNA
Rfam family: Bacterial small subunit ribosomal RNA
Source: RNAcentral